RNA transcript from Oreochromis niloticus (Nile tilapia), 2400 nucleotides. RefSeq lists it as uncharacterized. The record is from RefSeq and is a predicted model, not a curated record. Lineage: Eukaryota; Metazoa; Chordata; Actinopteri; Cichliformes; Cichlidae. The transcript has 3 exons.
AACAUGGGGGAGGCGGGGUUUAUGACCUAUACUGCAGCCAGACACCAGGGGGCGAUAGAGACGUUUUGGCUUCAUUUUUGGGGAGCUGUCGCGUCGUGGGGGCUGGGUCCCCUCCCCUGUUGCUAUUUACCGGGCCCCUCCCAUGGCUCCCUCCCAUGGUCUUGCCUCUGGGCCUUGCCUCUGAGGACGUUGACACUGUGUCCAUCCUCUCCUCUGGCGGCUCUCACCUGUCCCCGGGACAGCCCCCUGCUGGCUGCCCAGGCACAGUGUCUGGCCGGUUGAGUUUAUCAGCUCUUGGUUAGAGCAUGCCAGGUACUGGGACGGGCCCUUCCUGAGGUCUAAGGAGCUUGGAAAGAAAAGCGUCUGGACUUCUUUAAGUUACUUGAAGACGUUUCACCUCUCCUCCGAGAAGCUUCUUCAGUUCUAGGGUCAAAUGGUGGAUAGUCCCAGAACAGUAAUGGCUACAGCAAGAACACUCUACAAGUACACAAACUCUGUGUAAACAAUUUUGGUAUCAGACACUCGUUAGAUUUAAUCAAGGUGUAACUAUUACAGCAGAUAUUACUGCACCCUAAAAAAUUAUUCAGGGGCUUAGUAAAUAUCAUUAUAAUUCUAAGUUAGAUGACCUUGAUUAAAUCUUUGAAAAUCACAAAAGUGUUAUCUUGAGUUGAAAAUACUGAAAAGAAUGCUUAAAUUUUCAACACCAGUUUUUGAGUUGAACUGAGCUCUUUUGGUCAAGUUUAUUUAAAAGAAAAAAUUCUGUAUUUGAAACACAGGGUGCAUUAUUUAAAUCUACUCAAUAUAUCUCAUAGAAAGUACUCAAAAUAACUGAGACACUGGUAUUCAUACUUAUCAUUGUCUUGAACUUUAAUUAUUAAUGGUUCAAAAUCAAUAUAAUUUUGUCCCCCAGUACUAACUUAAAACUUUGAGUAAGACUAAUGACCUUUGGCAUGUACCGCACGCGAGGAGCAUGGCCUCAUGGGAGAUUUUCUGCACGUUGAACGAGACAGACACACAUCCACUGCAGACUUGGUAACGUUUUCAGCACCAUCUUCACCACCAGGAGAAAAAAAUCUGCAUCAACUACAAAGUAAAGCAGGUCACAGGUGAUGAGAUGGCAGUGUAAACUCUGCAAACAUGAGGAGUCAUCAAAAGUGUCACUACUCAAACAUUAUCGAGUGAAACAUGGUACAUUUGGUCAUGGCUAUUCCAUACCCUGUCUUCAUUUGAAUUGUCCUUGCUCUUUUAAGACAUGGGGUGCCUUACGCUCACACUUGUCUAGGUCUCACAGUUCGCAUGAAACGGAAGAGUGUGAGGUCCUUCCAACUAUUAGAUGUAAAAUCUGUGACUCUUUUUACCCAAACACAAAAGACUAUUUUCAACAUAUAAAUUCCCAUUUGAAAAGCCAUGAAACCAUAGUGUGUUUUUGAUGGUUGUGAGUUUAAGACAAACAUUUGUGGGACUUAUGCGACUCACAGAAGUCGAAAGCACAGAUUUUGUUCAUGGAAGCACUUUAAAACUAACUUGAUUUCAAAGCAAACUGUCAGUACAUCUAAUGAAAUCUUCUUACCAGCACUGGAAUUAGAAGAUCACGAGGACUUGGAUGUCACCAUUGAACUUGGUUGUGAAAGGGAAACAACAAAUGAAAUUUUGAAAAAUAUUGGUGUGCUCUUGUUAAAACUGGAAAGCAUCUAUAAUGUUUCUGGUAAAUGUGUGGAUGACUUGGUGGAACAGCUCAAUUAUAUUUGCACAUUAUCACUUCAGUAUAUUCCAAAGUCAAUAAGUGAUAUUCUUAUUAAGAAUAACUGUAAUAUUGAUCAGUCUUUUGUCAGUGAAUUGGCUGAAAAAAUAUGUCACUGUAGUCCUUUAUGUGCAGCCCUUAGUCCCGAUGGUCCCUUUGCUUCAAGAUAUAAGAGACAGAAAUAUUUCAAGGAAAACUUCUGUGUUAUUGAACCAGUAGAAUACUGUUUGGAUCCAGAAAAGAAUUCCACUUUUCAGUAUGUGCCUAUUCUUCAGUCCUUGCAGCUGUUACUGAGUAAAGAAGAUAUUAACAGUAUAUUAACUAGACAUUUGAACACUUCACAGUUAUCCUCUUUCCACAAUGGACAAUAUUUCAAGCAAAACCAACUUUGUGCUAUUGAGGACUUAAGUAUUUCCCUUGUUCUCUAUGUGGAUGACUUUGAAAUUUGGAAAAUAAUACUUUAUGUUAAGGCUUUAGUCUGCAUACUGAACAACUCCACUUAUAUGGAUUUAUGUCUGGAUGAGUAAAUUAAUCCUUUGCAUGUUAGAAAAUAAGGUCCAGGUUGCAAAAAAUGGUAGUUCCACUUAAAGAUUUUUUUUUUUGAUUGAAUCAGAAUUUUGGCCUUCAGAUUUUUUGUCCUUUGUUUUUUGUCCUCUCCC